Long non-coding RNA from Saccostrea echinata, 1646 nucleotides. RefSeq lists it as uncharacterized. Lineage: Eukaryota; Metazoa; Mollusca; Bivalvia; Ostreida; Ostreidae. The record is from RefSeq and is a predicted model, not a curated record. The transcript has 3 exons.
GGGGGCGCUAUCGGGUUUUUGUCCGAUCACUUUUGCGACGGACAUUCACGAAUAAACAGCUUUAAUUUUAAGACUGUCUCCUGUCCUGUUUUUCAGGUAAUGUAGAUUUACUUUGUACUUUGUAUUUUCCUUUAUUUUCAUUUUUAUAUUUUGUCUAAUAGUUCAUGUUGAUAAACUAGUACAUGUUAGUAAAAAUCUCAAAUUUACAAAAUGUUACUUUUCACAAAUCUGUAGAUAAACAUAUGUUGUAUUUUAUAUUUGAAAAGUAUGUGUCAUGAAACAAAAUUAUUAAGUAGUGUUUUAUAGAGGUUUUGAAAGAAGUCAUUAAGUCGAAUUUACUGUUUUGACCUUUCCGGAUAUUUUGCAUCUAUAUUUGUACUGGUUUUCUAUUUAGUAUUCAAAACAUUGUUGUUCUAGUAAACACGCAGUCGAUUUUACUGUUUUACUCUAUUAAUUGUUUGUAAAAAGGAAAAAUGCUGAAAGUAUCUAUGUUCUAAAUCUACCCGAGGAUUUUUAUGAAGUUUAUGAAUCCAGUAAGGUUGGGUAGAUCGGACUUACCUUGGUUGACUGGAAUGUUAAAAGUAUGAAAAACUGAAAUGUGAUUUUGAAGAGAGUGAACUGUAUUCAUCUUCAACUUUAUCAACACACCAGUAAUAAUGUGUCCAGCGGGACUAAGUUGAAAGAAGAGGAAGAACAAGAACACAUAAGAGAAUUUUGUUUUAAAUGUUCAAUAUCUAGGCACUGAAAAGCUUGUUUAUAAUUGAAAAGUUUGGAAGCAACAGUUUGGGAAUAUCUGUAGGAAAAUCAGGAUGAAGACUUCAACUUGAAAUACGGUGGAAUUCAAUUGCAAUACUGAACUUUUUAUGAUUAAGAAUGUUCACAGCAUUUCUUUUGUUAGCAAAUUUAUGUUUAAGGAACCGACGAGGUCAGAAUUAUAUAUCUGCCGACACACGUGGCGGCUUAAAGAGUAUGGACUGGGCAACACCCAUAAUCACAAACACUAGUUUGUAUUCUGCAGUUGAAGGAUCCAAUUAUGGAUUUGCUUUAGCUUCUUCAAAUAGUCCAAUCAAAACUUUCAAAGGAACCGAGUAAAGUUUAGUGCGAAUGUGAUCUAAUUGUUUAUUGAUGUAAGAUUAAAGCAUAGAAAUGGAAAGAACAUUUUUAUAAAAAGAAAAGGAAACGGUUACGAAGCUUAGCUAUCAACCAAUUAUCCUAGAUCUCAGUCCUUGUGUCUUUCUUUUAUUCCUGAAACUCAAGAAACUCCUUCCAGGAAGACGCUACACUUCCAGACAUGCCCUAUAGGGAAUACCAUCAAUCGGUGUCUUUUCAGCAUUCCCAAAGAAGAGUAUGCCGAUCGAGGUGGUCCGGCCGAAUAGACUUGAGGCAUGUGUAAAGGUUAACGGAAAUAUCAAGAAACUGCUCUUCGUGUUUUCCUGUUUUCCUUAUUUUUUAUGGCCGUUUGCAGUAUCCAAUUUCAAUUUUAUUUGUUAUAUUUCAGCAAAUGGAUGGACAAUAAAGGAUUUACUAAAUAUGUUUUUAUAGCGAUUUUCGCAUUAUAGCAAAAUAAGCUUUCUUACAUUAUUAAGUCAUGUACAAAUACAAAAGAUAAUGAGAAAGAAAAAUACCAAUAAACUAGUGGGAUUUCA